CGAGUGAAGCGGCAAUAGCUCAAAUUUGAAAUCUGGCUCUUUCAGGGUCCGAGUUGUAAUUUGUAGAGGAUGUUUCGGACAAGGCUUCGGUUUAAAUUCCUUGGAACAGGAUGUCAUAGAGGGUGAGAGUCCCGUCUUGAACCGUCUGCUGCGUCUAUGUGAAACUCCUUCGACGAGUCGAGUUGUUUGGGAAUGCAGCUCAAAAUGGGAGGUAAAUUUCUUCUAAAGCUAAAUAUUGGCCAGAGACCGAUAGCGCACAAGUAGAGUGAUCGAAAGAUGAAAAGCACUUUGAAAAGAGAGUUAAACAGUAUGUGAAAUUGUUGAAAGGGAAGCGGUUGCAACCAGACUUGUGUGUAACAGUUCAACCUUGGUUUUCCAAGGCCUAUUCUGUUAUACCAGGCCAGCAUCGGUUCGGGUGGUUAGUUAAAGGCAUCGGGAAUGUAUCUACCCCUCGGGGUCGACUUAUAGCCCUUUGUGUAAUGUGACCUACCUGGACCGAGGCACGCGCAUUUGCUC
This 516-nucleotide ribosomal RNA is filed under the name Aequabiliella palatina. Its description in RNAcentral is "partial 28S large subunit ribosomal RNA". It matches the Rfam family "Eukaryotic large subunit ribosomal RNA", at positions 90 to 613 of the family's 3401-position model. Lineage: Eukaryota; Fungi; Ascomycota; Eurotiomycetes; Phaeomoniellales; Phaeomoniellaceae. The record is from RNAcentral.